CCUACGGGAGGCAGCAGUGGGGAAUAUUGCACAAUGGGGGAAACCCUGAUGCAGCAACGCCGCGUGAGUGAGGAAGUAUUUCGGUAUGUAAAGCUCUAUCAGUAGGGAAUAGAAAAGACGGUAGUUGCUGUAGACGCCUCGGCUAACUACGGGCAAGCAGCCGCGGUUAUCCGUAGGCGGGAAGCGUUAUUCGGAUUUACUUGGUGUAAAUGGAGCGUAGACGGUAAGUCAAGUCAGAGGUGAAAACCCAAGUCUCAACCAUGGGAGUGCUUUUGAAAUUGGCCAACUUGAGUACAGGAGAGGGAAGAGGAAGUCCAAGUGUAGCGGUGAAAUGCGUAGAUAUUAGGAGGAACACCAGUGGCGAAGGCGUCUUACUGGACCGAAACUGACGUUGAGGCUCGAAAGCGUGGGGAGCAAACAGGAUUAGAUACCCGAGUAGUC
Molecule: ribosomal RNA, 441 nt
Filed under: uncultured bacterium
Lineage: Bacteria
Description: partial 16S ribosomal RNA
Rfam family: Bacterial small subunit ribosomal RNA
Source: RNAcentral